UCCUCUCCGGAGAGAAGCUCCAUGGAGAGGCGGAGGAGACGGGACUUCAGACCGGAUCAUGGCGGCGCCUCUCGGGCGGGACUCCCUACCGGAGCACUGCUCUUACGGUGUGUGCAGGGACGGCAGGGUCUUCUUCAUCGACGAUGAAGCGCGCGCCACCACCUGGCUGCACCCACGCUCCGGUGAGCCAGUAAACUCCGGACAUAUGAUCCGCUCAGACCUUCCUCGGGGAUGGGAGGAAGGAUUUACGGACGACGGGGCCAGUUUCUUCAUAAA
Long non-coding RNA from Notothenia coriiceps (black rockcod), 276 nucleotides. RefSeq lists it as uncharacterized. The record is from RefSeq and is a predicted model, not a curated record. NCBI's taxonomy places the organism in Eukaryota, Metazoa, Chordata, Actinopteri, Perciformes, Nototheniidae. The transcript is spliced from 3 exons.